This 253-nucleotide ribosomal RNA is filed under the name uncultured bacterium. Its description in RNAcentral is "partial 16S ribosomal RNA". It matches the Rfam family "Bacterial small subunit ribosomal RNA", at positions 524 to 776 of the family's 1533-position model. The record is from RNAcentral.
UACAGAGGGGGCAAGCGUUGUUCGGAAUUACUGGGCGUAAAGGGCGCGUAGGCGGCCUUCUAAGUCGAACGUGAAAUCCCUGGGCUCAACCCAGGAACUGCGUCCGAUACUGGAAGGCUUGAAUCCGGGAGAGGGAUGCGGAAUUCCAGGUGUAGCGGUGAAAUGCGUAGAUAUCGUGAGGAACACCAGUGGCGAAGGCGGGUCUCUGGACAGUUCCUGACGCUGAGGCACGAAGGUCAGGGGAGCAAACGGG